ACUGGAGGAGAUACAUGCAUAUCGUUCACUCAUGGUAGUCAUGUAAACAUCUUCGGCGCCGGUGAGCCGAUCCUAAGAGAUGCUGGGCGGUUUGGGGCGUGGGGUUCGUCCUCACGUUUUGUAUACAGCCUAGUGUAUCGAAAGGAAAUCAGGUUAAUAUUCCUGAACCGAGACGUGGAUCAUGUGUGGCAACACAACCGACCCAGGAGACGAUAGCGUGUGUCCUAGGAAGAGUUCUCUUUUCUUUUUAACAAGCAUGUCGUGCCUUGAAACGGAUUAUCCGGUGAUAAGGAGGACGCCUUGGCAAAACACUUUACUUUUUGAAAUGUCCUGUGCGCCCACGACAGCCCUUGAAAAUCCUGGCUAGAGAUUUAUUCGCACCCUCGUCCGUGCUCAUAACCGUAUCAGGUCUCCAAGGUUAGCAGCUUCUAGU
RNAcentral lists this non-coding RNA (433 nucleotides) under Phytophthora sojae strain P6497. RNAcentral describes it as "Eukaryotic large subunit ribosomal RNA". It matches the Rfam family "Eukaryotic large subunit ribosomal RNA", at positions 1517 to 1887 of the family's 3401-position model. The record is from Rfam by way of RNAcentral. Lineage: Eukaryota; Oomycota; Peronosporomycetes; Peronosporales; Peronosporaceae.